Molecule: regulatory RNA element, 187 nt
Rfam family: Baculoviridae Nucleocapsid Assembly essential Element
About the family: Internal cis-element within the ac83 gene.
Source: Rfam
CACUACCAAAAUUACAACCAAUAUACGACAAUCGGACGUUUGUAAUCAAUUUUUAGACGCAUUUGCGGAAAAAUAUACUACAUUGUGGCAAAAAUAUACUACACCCAAGCCUAAAAUAUACUAUAAAAAUGAAAAUAGUGUUUCAAAUACAGGAGUGUACCCAGCAAAUAUACUGAAAUCAGAUAUU